UCAGCAGCCGCGGUAAUACGUAGGUGGCAAGCGUUGUCCGGAAUUAUUGGGCGUAAAGGGCUCGCAGGCGGUUUCUUAAGUCUGAUGUGAAAGCCCCCGGCUCAACCGGGGAGGGUCAUUGGAAACUGGGGAACUUGAGUGCAGAAGAGGAGAGUGGAAUUCCACGUGUAGCGGUGAAAUGCGUAGAGAUGUGGAGGAACACCAGUGGCGAAGGCGACUCUCUGGUCUGUAACUGACGCUGAGGAGCGAAAGCGUGGGGAGCGAACAGGAUUAGAUACCCUGGUAGUCCACGCCGUAAACGAUGAGUGCUAAGUGUUAGGGGGUUUCCGCCCCUUAGUGCUGCAGCUAACGCAUUAAGCACUCCGC
This 366-nucleotide ribosomal RNA is filed under the name Bacillus subtilis. RNAcentral describes it as "bacterial SSU rRNA". It matches the Rfam family "Bacterial small subunit ribosomal RNA", at positions 508 to 872 of the family's 1533-position model. Lineage: Bacteria; Bacillati; Bacillota; Bacilli; Caryophanales; Bacillaceae. The record is from RNAcentral.